This 441-nucleotide unclassified non-coding RNA is filed under the name Hevea brasiliensis (rubber tree). Lineage: Eukaryota; Viridiplantae; Streptophyta; Magnoliopsida; Malpighiales; Euphorbiaceae. The record is from RNAcentral.
GCAGUCUUUGUCAAAGACCACCUCGGCAAGGAGGUGGAGAUAGGUGGCUGCAAGGGGCCAGUGACCACAUUUAUCGUGGAGCCAUUUGUCCCACACACGGAGGAGUACUACCUUAACAUUGUCUCAGAGCGGCUCGGUUGUAGUAUCAGCUUUUCUGAGUGCGGUGGGAUAGAGAUUGAGGAGAAUUGGGAUAAGGUGAAGACAAUCUUUAUUUCGGCCUCGGAGGUCUUAACGCCAGAGAUUUGUGCUCCCCUUCUCGCCACGCUUCCUUUGGAGAUUAAGGGCACGAUCGAGGAAUUUAUCAAGGCAGUUUUCAGUGUAUUCAUAGAUCUGGACUUCACAUUUCUUGAGAUGAAUCCCUUUACUCUGGUGGAGGGGAACCCUUAUCCUCUGGAUAUGAGAGGGGAGCUUGAUGAUACUGCUGCUUUCAAGAACUUCAAG